RNAcentral lists this long non-coding RNA (1182 nucleotides) under Piliocolobus tephrosceles (Ugandan red Colobus). RNAcentral's name for it is "lncRNA (ENSPTEG00000009331.1)". The record is from RNAcentral. Lineage: Eukaryota; Metazoa; Chordata; Mammalia; Primates; Cercopithecidae.
CGGAAACUUUUGGCUCCAUCAACAGAAGAGCAAGAGCAAAAACUCAAUUAAACGCGUUCUUCCUCCAUCCUUGCCUAGUCCAAAAGUUAAAACAAAAAGAAGAAAAAAGAAAAACUGUUUGGAUGUGUAGCGCUGAGGUUUGCUUUUUACUUUUUAUUUUUCCUCUAAAACAGCCAGGUGGAUUCACAUGAUCCAAUUUUUUUAAUUGUGUUCUACGUCCCACUCCGAAUAACCCGGAUGCCCCAGCACAAUCAGAGAGAUCGUUUUCUAAAAAAAAUUUCAGUCUCCAAAGGUGGGAGGGGUGUGUUGGGGGAGAAAGUACUUUAAUUAAAAAUCAAUAACUCGAGGUUUUUGGGAUACCGUUUGCCAUUUCCUAAUUAAGAAAUGGGUUUGACAGUCCCUUUGUAGACACUGCUAUGAAAACCCCAAAGGGUUGGGUGGCUGUCCGGGCGAUGACACUCCGGCUCCCUGCGAGACCCCGGGCCAGUCAGGCCCGUCCAUAGCCGGCCUCUGGGGUACGUCCCCGGCUCGCGCAGAUACCUCGCUUUCCCUGGCUCUGUCUCCUGCGUUCGGUUCGGCGCGGGGCUGGCCGCCUCAGGCUCGCCGCCACCAGGUCUUUGCAAAAUACCUUUUCCCUCCCCGGGGCCCCAGCGCGCGGCCACCUCCCAGCCUCCCUCCCACUCUGGCAGCGGGGCCCUUCCCCGGCUCGGGAACAGCAACCCGGGCCGCGGCGGCAGGAAGCAAGGCCCUUGUUGCUGCUGUUCCUUGGCGCGCCUCCCCGCCCUCCGGGGGCCGCUGCGGCUCUUCCGCGCUCCCUGGCGCCCCCCCCUCCGCGCCUGCGCCGUGCCCCACGGGGGGCGGGGCUCAGAUUCCUGUCAGCGGCGGCGGCGGUGGCGGCGACCGUCAGUUUUCGCUGAGGAGAAGCACGAAACGGACCCUUUGGCUCUCUCCCUUCCCCUUCCCCGCCCUGAACCCCUCUCCUGGCCACCGAGAAUCAGUCCCCGUGGAGUUCACCCUCCACCUCGCCAUCGUUUCCUCGGUCCUCGGCCCGGUGAAAGUCACUACCCUCGAGGAGGAGGCAGCUGCAGCCGCCCUCGCCUCGUCGCCCCCGGUUCGGUGCCCGCGGUCCCGGAGAGGAGGUGCCGCCGCCACCGCCGCUCCCCCCCUCCCGCUGCCCUCGGG